This 86-nucleotide ribosomal RNA is filed under the name Phocaeicola plebeius. Lineage: Bacteria; Pseudomonadati; Bacteroidota; Bacteroidia; Bacteroidales; Bacteroidaceae. The record is from RNAcentral.
UCCACCUCUUCCCAUUCCGAACAGAGAAGUUAAGCUUCGUCACGCCGAUGGUACUGCGCAAGUGGGAGAGUAGGUAGUCGCCGUUU